Solanum dulcamara is the source of this 162-nucleotide small nuclear RNA. RefSeq annotates it as U1 spliceosomal RNA. The transcript has a single exon. NCBI's taxonomy places the organism in Eukaryota, Viridiplantae, Streptophyta, Magnoliopsida, Solanales, Solanaceae. The record is from RefSeq and is a predicted model, not a curated record.
AUACUUACCUGGAUGGGGUCAAUGGGUGAUCAAUAAUAUCCAUGGCCUAGGAUGGUGACCUCCAUUGCACUUUGAAGGGGUACUUACCUAAGGCUGAUUCAAGAGAGUCGACUCUACGUGAUAAUUUGUUACAGUAGUGGCCUGCGCUUGCGUGGCCCCCCU